UACGUAGGGUGCGAGCGUUGUCCGGAAUUAUUGGGCGUAAAGAGCUUGUAGGCGGUUUGUCGCGUCUGCUGUGAAAAUCCGGGGCUCAACCCCGGACUUGCAGUGGGUACGGGCAGGCUAGGGUGUGGUAGGGGAGACUGGAAUUCCUGGUGUAGCGGUGAAAUGCGCAGAUAUCAGGAGGAACACCGAUGGCGAAGGCAGGUCUCUGGGCCACUACUGACGCUGAGAAGCGAAAGCAUGGGGAGCGAACAGG
RNAcentral lists this ribosomal RNA (253 nucleotides) under uncultured bacterium. RNAcentral describes it as "partial 16S ribosomal RNA". It matches the Rfam family "Bacterial small subunit ribosomal RNA", at positions 524 to 776 of the family's 1533-position model. The record is from RNAcentral.